UGCCAUUUUUAUCAGUCACUGUGAUUCAUUAUUCUACAGUGCCUGUUAGAAUGGUUUG
This 58-nucleotide microRNA precursor is filed under the name Lottia gigantea (owl limpet). RNAcentral's name for it is "Lgi-Mir-1984-P2_pre stem-loop". The record is from RNAcentral. Lineage: Eukaryota; Metazoa; Mollusca; Gastropoda; Lottiidae.